CCUACGGGGGGCUGCAGUAAGGAAUAUUGGUCAAUGGACGAAAGUCUGAACCAGCCAUGCCGCGUGAAGGAUGAAGGUCCUCUGGAUUGUAAACUUCUUUUAUCUGGGACGAAAAAAGGGAAUUCUUUCUCACUUGACGGUACCAGAAGAAUAAGCACCGGCUAACUCCGUGCCAGCAGCCGCGGUAAUACGGAGGGUGCCAGCGUCACCCGGAUUCACUGGGUUUUAGGUGGGCGUUGGAGUGCGGUUAGAAAUCUCCGGGCUUAACCCGGAAACUGCCAUUGAUACUAUCUGUCUUGAAUACUCUGGAGGUAAGCGGAAUAUGUCAUGUAGCGGUGAAAUGCUUAGAUAUGACAUAGAACACCGAUUGCGAAGGCAGCUUACUACGGAGUCAUUGACACUGAGGCACGAAAGCGUGGGGAUCAAACAGGAUUAGAUACCCUAGUAGUC
Molecule: ribosomal RNA, 450 nt
Filed under: uncultured bacterium
Lineage: Bacteria
Description: partial 16S ribosomal RNA
Rfam family: Bacterial small subunit ribosomal RNA
Source: RNAcentral